This 273-nucleotide ribosomal RNA is filed under the name uncultured bacterium. Its description in RNAcentral is "partial 16S ribosomal RNA". It matches the Rfam family "Bacterial small subunit ribosomal RNA", at positions 337 to 607 of the family's 1533-position model. The record is from RNAcentral.
GCCUACGGGACGCAGCAGUGAGGAAUAUUGGUCAAUGGGCGAGAGCCUGAACCAGCCAAGUCGCGUGAGGGAAGACGGUCCUAUGGAUUGUAAACCUCUUUUGCCGGGGAGCAAAAAGCGGUACGUGUACCGCAUCGAGAGUACCCGGAGAAAAAGCAUCGGCUAACUCCGUGCCAGCAGCCGCGGUAAUACGGAGGAUGCGAGCGUUAUCCGGAUUUAUUGGGUUUAAAGGGUGCGCUGGCGGCGCGUUAAGUCAGCGGUUAAAUUUCGGGG